UGGUCGUUGGUACGCGUCUCUGAAUCGCCGAGUAGUUUCAGGUCGCUGGUACGUGUCUUCUGAAUCGUCGAGUACUUCUGGUCGCAAGGAGGCUUCUGGUCGCAAGUUCACAUCUCUGAGUCGCCGAGUAUCUCUGGUCGUAGGCUCACAUCUCCGAGUCGCCGAGUUCCUCUGGUCGCAAGUUCUCGUCUCCAAGUCGCCGAAUAUCUCUGGUCGCAAGGAGGCUUCUGGUCACCGGUUCACGUUUCUGGGUCGUCGAGUACCUCUGGUUGCAAGGAGGCUUCACGUAACUUUACCAGAUCGUGAAGAACAGGGCCGAAUUUGCACCCGCUCUGAUACCAUGAAGUUAAUAGAAUAAUUCUGUAUAUCUUAUUAUUGAAUGAGAAGGAAUACAUCAUAUAUAUAACCGAACUAAAGAUAAGAUACUGCUAUCUAUCCUAUCUAAUCUAAUACGGAAAAGAUAAAUGAGUAACUGAAAAA
Molecule: long non-coding RNA, 480 nt
Organism: Neltuma alba
Lineage: Eukaryota; Viridiplantae; Streptophyta; Magnoliopsida; Fabales; Fabaceae
Exons: 2
Source: RefSeq, a predicted model, not a curated record